ACUCCUACGGGAGGCAGCAGUGGGGAAUAUUGGACAAUGGGCGAAAGCCUGAUCCAGCCAUGCCGCGUGUGUGAAGAAGGUCUUCGGAUUGUAAAGCACUUUCACUUGGGAAGAAAAGCUCGUAGCUAAUACCUGCGAGCCGUGACAUUACCUUGAGAAGAAGCACCGGCUAACUCCGUGCCAGCAGCCGCGGUAAUA
This 198-nucleotide ribosomal RNA is filed under the name uncultured bacterium. RNAcentral describes it as "partial 16S ribosomal RNA". It matches the Rfam family "Bacterial small subunit ribosomal RNA", at positions 335 to 525 of the family's 1533-position model. The record is from RNAcentral.